ACGCUCGACACCUACGGGGGGCAGCAGUGGGGAAUAUUGCACAAUGGGGGAAACCCUGAUGCAGCGACGCCGCGUGAGCGAAGAAGUAUUUCGGUAUGUAAAGCUCUAUCAGCAGGGAAGAAACUGACGGUACCUGACUAAGAAGCACUGGCUAAAUACGUGCCUGCAGCCGCGGUAAUCUGAGCGGGCUGGCAAGGC
RNAcentral lists this ribosomal RNA (198 nucleotides) under uncultured bacterium. RNAcentral's name for it is "partial 16S ribosomal RNA". It matches the Rfam family "Bacterial small subunit ribosomal RNA", at positions 328 to 539 of the family's 1533-position model. The record is from RNAcentral.